Molecule: ribosomal RNA, 609 nt
Filed under: uncultured bacterium
Lineage: Bacteria
Description: bacterial SSU rRNA
Rfam family: Bacterial small subunit ribosomal RNA
Source: RNAcentral
AUGAACGCUGGCGGCAGGCCUAACACAUGCAAGUCGAACGGAGUUAUAUUGUAGCUUGCUAUGGUAUAACUUAGUGGCAGACGGGUGAGUAAUGUAUAGGAAUCUACCUAGUAGUACGGAAUAAUUGUUGGAAACGGCAACUAAUACCGUAUACGCCCUACGGGGGAAAAAUUUAUUGCUAUUAGAUGAGCCUAUAUUAGAUUAGCUAGUUGGUGGAGUAAUAGCCUACCAAGGCAAUGAUCUAUAGCUGAUCUGAGAGGAUGAUCAGCCACACUGGAACUGAGAUACGGUCCAGACUCCUACGGGAGGCAGCAGUGGGGAAUAUUGGACAAUGGGCGAGAGCCUGAUCCAGCCAUGCCGCAUGAGUGAAGAAGGCCUUUGGGUUGUAAAGCUCUUUUAGUGAGGAAGAUAAUGACGGUACUCACAGAAGAAGUCCUGGCUAACUCCGUGCCAGCAGCCGCGGUAAUACGGAGAGGGCUAGCGUUAUUCGGAAUUAUUGGGCGUAAAGGGCGCGUAGGCGGAUUAGUAAGUUAAAAGUGAAAUCCCAAGGCUCAACCUUGGAAUUGCUUUUAAAACUGCUAAUCUAGAGAUUGAGAGAGGAUAGANGGA